RNAcentral lists this ribosomal RNA (466 nucleotides) under Actinobacteria bacterium GUDS1338. Its description in RNAcentral is "bacterial SSU rRNA". It matches the Rfam family "Bacterial small subunit ribosomal RNA", at positions 62 to 526 of the family's 1533-position model. Lineage: Bacteria; Bacillati; Actinomycetota; Actinomycetes. The record is from RNAcentral.
UCGAGCGCGAAAGUUCUUCGGAACGAGUAGAGCGGCGGACGGGUGAGUAACGCGUGGGAAAUUGCCCAGUAGUGGGGGACAACAUUCGGAAACGGAUGCUAAUACCGCAUACGCCCUACGGGGGAAAGCAGGGGAUCUUCGGACCUUGCGCUAUUGGAUAUGCCCGCGUCGGAUUAGCUAGUUGGUGAGGUAAUGGCUCACCAAGGCAACGAUCCGUAGCUGGUCUGAGAGGAUGAUCAGCCACACUGGGACUGAGACACGGCCCAGACUCCUACGGGAGGCAGCAGUGGGGAAUAUUGGACAAUGGGCGCAAGCCUGAUCCAGCCAUGCCGCGUGUGUGAAGAAGGCCCUAGGGUUGUAAAGCACUUUCAGCAGGGAGGAAGGCCUUAAAGUUAAUACCUUUGAGGAUUGACGUUACCUGCAGAAGAAGCACCGGCUAACUCCGUGCCAGCAGCCGCGGUAAUAC